CUCCACCCCAGAAAAGCACCCCAACCGAAAAACAGACCGGAGCAGUGCAGUGGAGGAGGGGAGGGAAAAAUAUCUGGCAGCGCUCGUGGGUAUUAUCUGGCCCAUUUCCACCCGUGCCUUCGAUCCUCUCUCUCCCCCCACCCCCGCGUGACGUGGCACGCAGGGCUGCAGAUAUUUUCAUCCGUUCCCCUCUCUCCACCUCCCACGACGGACGGCGACGACGAGAUGCCCCCCGACGCCGACGCCGGGGAGCCGGCGGCCGCGGCGGCGGGGCCCGGAGGAGGGGCGGCGCGCGGGGUGAUCCGCUGGGACGAGAUCCUGCCGCGCCGCUCGCUCCGGGUGCUCCUCGUCGAGCACGACGACUCCACCCGCCAGGUCGUCACCGCGCUCCUCCGCAAGUGCGGGUACCGCGUGGCGGCGGUGGCGGACGGGAUGAAGGCGUGGGAGGUCAUGCGGGGCCGCGCGUACGCCUUCGACCUCGUGCUCACGGAGGUCAACAUGCCCACGCUCUCCGGAAUCGACCUGCUCUCCAGGAUCGUCGCGGCUGACGAGUGCAAGAACAUCCCCGUUAUAAUGAUGUCAUCCCAAGAUUCCAUUGGCACAGUGCUAAAGUGCAUGCAGAAUGGGGCAGUGGACUUCCUCGUGAAGCCAGUUAGGAAGAAUGAGUUGCGUAACUUAUGGCAACAUGUGUGGAGGCGGCACUCGAUGAACAGCCAAUUAAAUGCAUCAGAAAACAAUGCAGCCAGCAACCAUAUAAGUGUGAAUUCUGGUACCGGGUCAAAGACAGGAGAAAACAGCGAUGAGAAAAGUGAUGCUCAGAGCUCUGGAAGCAAAAGGGAGACUGACAUUCAGAGUGUUGAGAAAUUACCGGAGAUUGUGGCACAUAAUGGAGCAAGCUCAUGCAGAGAACUAAAAAUACAGAAUGGGCCUUUUGAUAGAAUGAACACAAAGGCACUUGCAUUAAAGGGCACUGAUGAUGCUCCAAGUGGAAAUGCAUGUGGCACCAGUAAGCAGCAAGUGUUUUCAGCUGAGAAGAAUGUGUGUUCCAAGUAUCUUCAUGGCAUUACUUCUGCAAAGGUUGCUGGACAGAUAAUGGACAACGCCAUGAGGAUUGCUGAUGCAAGUUCAUGUCGUCCAAGUGAUCCUGGCAAAGAUCUUAUGGCUACUGGCCAACCAACAACUAGCAAAAAAUGCAAAUCUCCAGUCACAAAGAAUAACGCUGUCAAGCCUGUCAUGGAAAAUACCCUUCAUGAAAAUUCAAAGGGUGCUGCGAUCGGCCAUCCCCAGCCUUGCCCCUCUCACUUGCUGGAUGUCAACUUAGGAAAGCAACAGCGUUCUGAUGGUCAUGUGAACCAAGAACUGAGGGAUAAGGAUAAUUUUAAUCACUCAAAUUCUUCAGCCUUUUCAAGGUAUGGUAAUAAAAGAAUAGAGCCAUCAGCUAAGCAACUGUCUCUUCCCUCCGUCCACUUAACUUAUCAAGAAUCUGUUUAUGACAAGAAUGUUCAAUCUAGUGGGGCUUUGCCCUCGCAUGAACACCAUACAUGCAAGAUUACAAUGCAAGCUCAGGCUCCUUUGGACAGUUGCACAGUGGGUCCUGCCAUCCCGUCUUCAAGCAGUGCAAGAGAAGAUGCUGGCACAAUCAGUUCCUCCCCUAGAAAGGACAAUUUCGGUCAUCCUCCUUAUGGCUUUAUACCUGUUCCAAUUUCUGUCGCUGCUGCUAUACCGUACCAGUACAGUGCAAUUAUGCCUCCGAUAUACUACACACAGCCUCCUUUUAUGCAAUGCGAUCCAUCUGGCAUCAACCAGAUGGGAAUUCAGCAUGCAUAUCAUUCUAGUUACCAUCAAAAUCUUGGUAAACCAUCAGAGAUUGAUGAACACAGACAGCUAGAAGAAAACCAGCGGUUGCAUCAUUCAAAACAAAUUCUCCAAGAAUCAGGAGAACCUAUUGACUUGUUGAGAGCUCAUGCAGAGCGCAAUAACCAGAGUGCUAGUUGUAGCCAGGAUAUCCGUGGAUGGACUGUGAGCGGUGAAACUGAUACAAACACCAACGCAAUAAUUGCCCCAGAAAGCGGCAACGAGAGUGGCAUCCAGAACUUCGGUUACAAUGGACUGGAUAGUGAUCGGUCUCGUCGUGAAGCUGCCUUGAUGAAAUUCCGCAUGAAAAGGAAAGAUAGAUGCUUCGAGAAGAAGGUCAGAUAUCACAGCAGGAAGAAGCUUGCAGAGCAAAGACCAAGAAUCAAGGGGCAGUUUGUUAGCCAAAAACUCAAGUCAGCUACAACAACGGAAGAUGCAGAAACAGAUUAGUGACGUUGUUAAUCCAUGACUGUCCUUUUGAUACUUCGCUUCCCAGAGGGGAAUUUAAAGUAACUGGUAAGAGUGAAAGGCUGGCAAAAGUUUUCCUUACAGGGUUAGCCUUUUGUACAAGUGUUCCGUGUACUUCUUUGUCGGUUGUUUAUUGACAUGGUUUGCCUGUAAAGAGUGUCGAAUUGAAAAUCCUCUGGGGGGAUAGGAAAUCAAUGCAGAUAUUCAGAUUUUCCGUCACAUGUUUGUGGUGUGUUACAUCCUUACAGUAGCUCUAGAUUAUAGUCAGUAAGCCUUGCUUCCUCACAUGAGCAUGCCCAAUGUAAUUAUGCUUUCCCUUAGCUGUAUUUCCUCCUCUAUGUAAGAUGAUUGAAGGACAACCUGCCAACGUUUUUUCUUUCAUUUCAAACCCCUGUUUGAAAGGCGGGUUAUCCUUUUCCCAGUUCUUGCGGUCAUUCAACAGUUUCCUGUGGAACUGCCGCGGAACGUUUUGAGGCCAUAAUAGAGUAGCAACUCACCCGACUUCUUUCUCCAACCGACCAGGCUUCUGCAGAUGCUUUACCUGCCUUGCACUCUGCAGAUCAUUACACAUGCACUUCUCAAUCUACUAUCCCUGUCACUCUAUCUUACAAAAGUUUGCCAACACUUUUGAGCUCCAUGAGACAAGGUAUCAGUCACAAACAUAUGUUACGGUGGCCGAUUUCUUGAGACGCAUCAAUCGUUUGGUGCCAAUCCUGGAGAGGAGCAUCUUCUCUUUACACCCUGCUUCUCAUAUUCUCUCCCAGCUUGCACCUGAAGUUUCACACAUCUUCUCCUGCACUGCACUUCUUGGCUUAUAAACCGGCAGCUCCGGCCCACAAGCAGCCGAUCGCAGGAAUCUCAUUCCCCCACCUGCGCCAAGCAAGCUCAUGAGAGCAGCCUGUCAAGGUGGCAAUGGAGGGACCAAGAGCGGUGGCGAUGGUGGCGGUGAUCGUCCUGGUGGCGUGUUGUGGUGCUCAGCUGGCUGUCGCCGGAGGUGACCAGGGCCAGCCGGCGGCGGGAGGGCCGGAGGCGAGUCUGCUGUGCAUCAGCGAGUGCGGGACGUGCCCCACGGUGUGCACGUCGCCGCCGCCAGCUCCUCCCUCGCCGUCAUCAUCAUCAUCUACACCGUCGCCUCCCUCGCCGUCAUCGUCAUCAUCAACACCGUCGCCUCCCUCGCCAUCGACGUCGAUCCUCCCGCUGCCCACGCCCCCGCCGCCGUAUCUGACUCUGCUGCUCCCGCCGCCCCCGUCGUCAUCGUCGACGGAGCUGCCCCCGUCCACGCCGUCGCCGACUCCACCGAAGAGCAGCGGCGGGUCGUCAUCGUCUUCGUCUUCCUCGGCUCCGUCCUCGCACUUCUCGUCGCCGCCGUCCCCGCCGUCGUCCUCGGCGAACCCGUACUACUACUUCUACCUCUCCGGGGGCAGCAGGAGCCGCGGCGCGUCGAGCGUCUACGCCGUCGUCAUCCUCGCGCUGCUCCUGCCCGCCGUCACCUUUUGGAGGUGAGAUGAGGUGUUGGACGUUGUCGUUGCGUCGCCGUGUGCCCAUUCUGGUGAACUCCUCGUGUGUUUAUAGUACUACAAGUACUGUCACUUCUUUUCCCUUCCCGGCCCCCGUCAGAUUCAGAAGCUAGCAGCACUUCCACUGUCUAGUAGUAAUUCGUUUUUGUUGUUGUAACCCUGUCUAGUAAUUCG
RNAcentral lists this ribosomal RNA (4013 nucleotides) under Triticum aestivum (bread wheat). RNAcentral describes it as "partial small subunit ribosomal RNA". The record is from RNAcentral. Lineage: Eukaryota; Viridiplantae; Streptophyta; Magnoliopsida; Poales; Poaceae.